CACGCGCGCAAACACAUAUUUGUCGAUAAUGACAAUAAGAUCGUUUGUGUUUGGUGAGAGGUUCAAACUUGAACUGAAGUCACACGACUAAUCCGCGUUGCUGGCGUGCGCUCAACGUGUCAAUUCUUUACGAGCGUGAAAUACGAAGAAAAUCAACGUAUUUUCCGCAUCAUUAUCGCUCAUUAUUGUCGGGUGGCGCACGCCGAACAAUACAAGAGUCGUUAAAAAGUCGACAUUCAUUGCGCGGGCGUCACUUCUUGAGUUGCGAUUAUUAAUCUACAGUUAGUUAUUGUUGGUGCGCACGAAGAACAAGAAGGAUUGAGUACCGUUUUAAUAUAAAACACGCGUGCAGCAUGCGUUGCAAAUCGGCGAGAUUCCGUCUUGGCGUGAUGGCGGUGCUGGUGAUGACGUUUGACAUCAUCAGCGCCAUCAGUGUGGACGAUGUCAACGCGCCUAGAUUAGCUCAUUACCAGGUUGAACAACAGCCGCAUAUUGAAUACAACUAUAUUGUUUACGAUUUGAACCCGGUUGAGGUGGUUUGGUGGAAGCGCGGCACGCAUCGCUUACGUGCCAACAAAAACAAGAUGGCCGCCGUGCAAAGUGACGCCGAAUCACAUCCGGCCGCCAUUGCAAGCGCAAAUAAUUAGAGUGCAGCACAUAAAAACUGUUAUUUAAAAUAGUCGAGCAUUCAAAAAUGAGCGAAAAUGUUAAGUGGGUCAUGGUGGCACUUAGUAGGCGAUUAAAGCAAUGAUUAACGCGUCGUUAAGCACGUUAGUGACGCACCAUUCAGUAAAAUCGGCCGGGCAGGACGAAUGGGCCAGUCUAGCGUGAUGUGCGUUUAAUUAUCAUACGCGCGAAUUAUUAAACGUCUUAUCUUAAUGUUUAGCGAUAGCAAUAAAUAAGAAUUUCUAAGGUAGGCAACCAAAUAUACUCUGCGCAUGCGUGUUUCUAAAGUGGGCGGAGCAAAUAUAUAAAAUUUUUAUUAUUUAUUAGUAGAAUAAGAAAAAAAACAAAUUUAAUAUUUGUUUUAUAAUCAUUUAUUGUUUUUUUUUCAAUCGAUAAUAAUUAUAAUAAAUGCUCAUACGGCGGCGUGUAUGUAUGUACAAACAAGAUGAGAUGACGCAUUUUCUGCUUCUUUCUUCUUUCAAUUGUUUAAACAUUGUGUAUUAGUAUUUAUUUUAUUCGCUUAAGUUUUAUAGUUUUUUCUUUUCUUCUUGGUUUAUUUAAGUUUAAAUCGUGUUUUCGUUUAGAUUUGUUUACUGUAUCGCGCAAAACGACCAAAGUAAGAAGAGAUCAAAGUCAGAAGGAAUGCGUAUCGUAAUUUAUGCGAUGCAUAGUUUAUUCUAUUUAUUAUUAUUGUAAUCAUAAUUAUAAUUAUAAUUAUGUAUUAAAUGUAAUAAUGCGAUACUCUUA
Dalotia coriaria is the source of this 1413-nucleotide long non-coding RNA. RefSeq lists it as uncharacterized. The transcript has 2 exons. The record is from RefSeq and is a predicted model, not a curated record. Lineage: Eukaryota; Metazoa; Arthropoda; Insecta; Coleoptera; Staphylinidae.